Oncorhynchus tshawytscha (Chinook salmon) is the source of this 579-nucleotide long non-coding RNA. Lineage: Eukaryota; Metazoa; Chordata; Actinopteri; Salmoniformes; Salmonidae. The record is from Ensembl.
CUAUGUUACUGUUCCCACCAGGUUACUGUUCCCACUAGGUUACUGUUCCCACCAGGUUACUGUUCCCACUAUGUUACUGUUCCCACUAUGGUACUGUUCCCACCAGGUUACUGUUCCCACUAUGGUACUGUUCCCACCAGAUUACUGUUCCCACUAUGUUACUGUUCCCACCAGGUUACUGUUCCCACCAUGUUACUGUUCCCACCAGGUUACUGUUCCCACUAUGUUACUGUUCCCACCAGGUUACUGUUCCCACUAUGUUACUGUUCCCACUAUGUUACUGUUCCCACUAUGUUACUGUUCCCACCAGGUUACUGUUCCCACCAGGUUACUGUUCCCACUAUGUUACUGUUCCCACUAUGUUACUGUUCCCACCAGGUUACUGUUCCCACUAUGUUACUGUUCCCACUAUGGUACUGUUCCCACCAGGUUACUGUUCCCACCAGGUUACUGUUCCCACUAUGUUACUGUUCCCACCAGGUUACUGUUCCCACUAUGUUACUGUUCUCACCAGGUUACUGUUCCUACUAUGUUACUGUUCCCACUAUGUUACUGUUCUCACCAGAUUACUGUUCCCAC